UACGUAGGGGGCGAGCGUUGUCCGGAUUUAUUGGGCGUAAAACGCUCGUAGGUGGCCACGUCAAGUCGGAUGUGAAAUAUCCCGGCUCAACUGGGAGGGGUCAUUCGAUACUGGCGGGCUCGAGGCCGGUAGGGGGUAGCGGAAUUCCGGGUGUAGUGGUGGAAUGCGUAGAUAUCCGGAGGAACACCAGUGGCGAAGGCGGCUACCUGGACCGGUUCUGACACUGAGGAGCGAAAGCGUGGGGAGCGAUCCGG
Molecule: ribosomal RNA, 254 nt
Filed under: uncultured bacterium
Lineage: Bacteria
Description: partial 16S ribosomal RNA
Rfam family: Bacterial small subunit ribosomal RNA
Source: RNAcentral